RNAcentral lists this ribosomal RNA (481 nucleotides) under uncultured bacterium. RNAcentral describes it as "bacterial SSU rRNA". It matches the Rfam family "Bacterial small subunit ribosomal RNA", at positions 30 to 507 of the family's 1533-position model. The record is from RNAcentral.
AUUGAACGCUGGCGGAAUGCUUUACACAUGCAAGUCGAGCGGCAGCGCGGGGCAACCUGGCGGCGAGCGGCGAACGGGUGAGUAAUACAUCGGAACGUGCCCAGACGUGGGGGAUAACUACUCGAAAGAGUGGCUAAUACCGCAUACGAUCUACGGAUGAAAGCGGGGGAUCGCAAGACCUCGCGCGUCUGGAGCGGCUGAUGGCAGAUUAGGUAGUUGGUGGGAUAAAAGCCUACCAAGCCAACGAUCUGUAGCUGGUCUGAGAGGAUGAUCAGCCACACUGGGACUGAGACACGGCCCAGACUCCUACGGGAGGCAGCAGUGGGGAAUUUUGGACAAUGGGCGAAAGCCUGAUCCAGCCAUUCCGCGUGCAGGAUGAAGGCCCUCGGGUUGUAAACUGCUUUUGUACAGAACGAAAAGCUCUGGCUAAUACCUGGAGUCCAUGACGGUACUGUAAGAAUAAGCACCGGCUAACUACGUG